Molecule: ribosomal RNA, 742 nt
Filed under: uncultured Staphylococcus sp.
Lineage: Bacteria; Bacillati; Bacillota; Bacilli; Caryophanales; Staphylococcaceae
Description: bacterial SSU rRNA
Rfam family: Bacterial small subunit ribosomal RNA
Source: RNAcentral
CGGGAUUAUAUUGUGAACCGCAUGGUUCAAAAGUGAAAGACGGUCUUGCUGUCACCUUAUAGAUGGAUCCGCGCUGCAUUAGCUAGUUUGGUAAGUUUACGGCUUACCAAGGCAACGGAUGCAUAGCCGACCUGAGAGGGUGAUCGGCCACACUGGAACUGAGACACGGUCCAGACUCCUACGGGAGGCAGCAGUAGGGAAUCUUCCGCAAUGGGCGAAAGCCUGACGGAGCAACGCCGCGUGAGUGAUGAAGGUCUUCGGAUCGUAAAACUCUGUUAUUAGGGAAGAACAUAUGUGUAAGUAACUGUGCACAUCUUGACGGUACCUAAUCAGAAAGCCACGGCUAACUACGUGCCAGCAGCCGCGGUAAUACGUAGGUGGCAAGCGUUAUCCGGAAUUAUUGGGCGUAGAGCGCGCGUAGGCGGUUUUUUAAGUCUGAUGUGAAAGCCCACGGCUCAACCGUGGAGGGUCAUUGGAAACUGGAAAACUUGAGUGCAGAAGAGGAAAGUGGAAUUCCAUGUGUAGCGGUGAAAUGCGCAGAGAUAUGGAGGAACACCAGUGGCGAAGGCGACUUUCUGGUCUGUAACUGACGCUGAUGUGCGAAAGCGUGGGGAUCCAAACAGGAUUAGAUACCCUGGUAGUCCACGCCGUAAACGAUGAGUGCUAAGUGUUAGGGGGUUUCCGCCCCUUAGUGCUGCAGCUAACGCAUUAAGCACUCCGCCUGGGGAGUACGACCGCAAGG